AACGAACGUUGGCGGCGUGGAUUAGGCAUGCAAGUCGAACGCGUGAGAGGGGCUUGCUCCUCAAGCGAGUGGCGAACGGGUGAGUAACGCGUGGGAAACCUGCCCCGAAGCGUGGAAUAACACUCCCAACGGGGUGCUAAUACCGCAUGGUAUCGCCGGGUGGCAUCAUUUGGCGAUUAAAGGUGGGGACCGUAAGGCCUGCCACUUUGGGAUGGUCCCGCGUCUGAUUAGCUUGUUGGUGAGGUAACGGCUCACCAAGGCGACGAUCAGUAGCUGGUCUGAGAGGAUGGUCAGCCACACUGGGACUGAGACACGGCCCAGACUCCUACGGGAGGCAGCAGUGGGGAAUUUUGGACAAUGGGCGCAAGCCUGAUCCAGCAAUGCCGCGUGCAGGAAGAAGG
This 401-nucleotide ribosomal RNA is filed under the name uncultured bacterium. RNAcentral's name for it is "bacterial SSU rRNA". It matches the Rfam family "Bacterial small subunit ribosomal RNA", at positions 29 to 414 of the family's 1533-position model. The record is from RNAcentral.